GACGAACGCUGGCGGCGUGCUUAACACAUGCAAGUCGAACGGAAAGGCCCUGCUUUUGUGGGGUGCUCGAGUGGCGAACGGGUGAGUAACACGUGAGUAACCUGCCCUUGACUUUGGGAUAACUUCAGGAAACUGGGGCUAAUACCGGAUAGGAGCUCCUGCUGCAUGGUGGGGGUUGGAAAGUUUCGGCGGUUGGGGAUGGACUCGCGGCUUAUCAGCUUGUUGGUGGGGUAGUGGCUUACCCAGGCUUUGACGGGUAGCCGGCCUGAGAGGGUGACCGGCGACAGUGGGACUGAGAUACGGCCCAGAGUCCUACGGGAGGCAGCAGUGGGGAAUAUUGCACAAUGGGCGGAAGCCUGAUGCAGAAACGCCGCGUGCGGGAUGACGGCCUUCGGGUUGUAAACCGCUUUCGCCUGUGACGAAGCGUGAGUGACGGUAAUGGGUAAAGAAGCACCGGCUAACUACGUG
This 468-nucleotide ribosomal RNA is filed under the name uncultured bacterium. Its description in RNAcentral is "partial 16S ribosomal RNA". It matches the Rfam family "Bacterial small subunit ribosomal RNA", at positions 28 to 507 of the family's 1533-position model. The record is from RNAcentral.